Meleagris gallopavo (turkey) is the source of this 4709-nucleotide long non-coding RNA. The record is from Ensembl. Lineage: Eukaryota; Metazoa; Chordata; Aves; Galliformes; Phasianidae.
AUGAACUCACACCCCGGAACAGACCUUCUGAAAGUAGAUCAGAGUGGAAGCAGAAGGAAGGAGGGAUUUAUUGGAAUAUUUUCACCUUUUAAGGGCUACAGUGCAAGAUCUUCCUUGAGUGGGUCUACUGCUGGGAGCAAGCAUGCACCAACACAUGCAAGAUCCCAUUCUCGGCUGACACCUGCAGCAAUGUCUGUGUUCCCCAUCGCAUGUAAGGGCUCAAGCUUUCUGAGGACACCGUGGGACAUUCAGGACAGUGCUGAGUUGCCCUCACUUCUCUCCGUUGGCUCCAGAGGAAACCAAGUUGAGGUUUUGGGUGAUUGUGUGGAGUCAGGAGUUGGACUUGAUGAUCCUUAUGGCUCCCUUCCAACAUGGGAUGUUGUGUCAUUCUAUGAUUCUUGUUACAUGGACUGACUCUAUCCCCACGAUGACAGCUUUACAGAAAAGCCAAGGCAAAGGCACCCAAACUAAACCUGAAGUGCCCAGCCUGCUGACACUGAGCUUCUUUGGCUCUGCUGCCACUGAACCUCUAUGGAAGUCGAUGGAGACAGUGAGGAGAUUCAUGGAUUCAAACAAGCUUUGGAUGAGUCCUUCAAAGCACCCCAGAAAUUCAGCCGUGUUUCCCCAGUUCUACUCUGCACAGAUCCACCAGGAAGGGAUGGAGGAAUUAUAUUAGCCCCAAAGUGCAGUGAAGCACCCCUGCUCCUCAUCCAACAGAUCCUGAAGGGCCAGACCCAAGUUUGUGGUUCUAUUGCUCUUCUGGAAUUGUGCUCUGGACCUGCAGAUUUCCAGGCAAGGCACAAAGCUUUUGCAUGGGCUCCAGAGGCCAGCUCAAGUCCGAGCCAUUCCCAGAACUGCUCGUCCCUGACCUCAGACAAGGCUCCACAUAGGACUUUCAGUUAUUUUUCUUUGAAGUAAAUGUCUCACAAGCACAAGGCAAUGGGGAGCAGCAUCUUUAUCAUCUGGAGAUAUCCACAUUUUUAUUACAUUUUCUUUCAGUUCUGAUUUUUUUCUCCAGAACCAGUUUAUCCAUUUCUUCUGGACUUGUACCUUGAAGGCAAGAGCUGCAGCACAAUGUGCGGCCAAUCUAUUCCAGAAAAAUGCCUUCACUACAGAACAUGAACUUCCCAUUAUAGAGGCUGCAUAUGUGCACUGAUUGAUCCCUAAACUGGCAUUUCAAUUUAUUUCCCACUGGAGAACUCAUUCAUUACAGAGAAAUAAGACUAUUAAAUGCAUGAUAAAGCACAUGCAUCAACAGACGAGAAUGGUGGUUACUUUAUUGUACCUAUCUAAACAAUAGCUGAUAAAUAAAGCCAUUCAUGAUCACAUAGGACCUUUUAAAAUGAAUAAGGAAACAGUAAUAUCCUCAUUAUUAAAGCAGCUGAUUAAAAGAAAUAGCUUGCCAGCAUUAACACCGCACACUUUGCUGCUGCAUCCCUGGCUGUGGGGCAGAGGCAGCUCAGAGGCACAGAUUGCAAGCAAGCUGCCUGCAACCUGCCCAAGUCCCAGCAGCCUGCAGAUGUGUGCAGCUGUGCUGAUGUGGCAGCAAGCUCUUACCUUCAGCAGCAGGGAAAGGCACCCAGAGGAGCCCCAAGAUGUUUUUUUCAAGAAUUAGAGCUUCCAUCCUUUUUAACAACUACAUUGACUUUCUACCCAACAGCCUCUGGGGAGAAGCAGAAUAGUGGUGCAGGUGUAGAAUUCUUUUAUACGUAUAUCAUAGAUCCAUGGAAUUGCUUAGGUUGGAAGGGACCUUAAAGACCAUGCAGCUCCCACCCCAUACAUACGUACAUAUACAUAGUUUUUUGACCUGUCAAAAAAGGAAAGGUAGAGAUGGCAAAGAAAGACAAGACAUGGAGAAAGGAAAACAAAGAGGAAAGGAGAAGUGGAUCUUUACGAAAAUCAAUAGAUACGUGUUGAAGUGGGAGAUAAGAGCAGUGGCUUUGAAGUUUCUUUGCAAAUCAAACCAAACUGGUUUUUCUCUGUCCAUUCUUGUGGACACUGAACGGUGCCACCGCUGCUGUAACAAUCCCAUAAAAAUUUAUGGCCAGAUUUCUUUCUCCAUCCCUUUCCUCCACUUUGACCAUGUCCUUAGAAGCCCAAGAUGCCAAUGCCAGGCUAAAUAGUCAUGACACAACUCAGCAGGUUUUCCAGAGCUCUAAUUGAAUUAUAAGCCAUCACUUCAUGGCCACAUGUAAAAAGCCCACACGUUCCUUGCCCAGCAUAGUCAGUUUUUGACCCAAUGGUGUGGCACUGGGCUGUGGACCAUGCAGGGACCACAUGGCCAGGUGACAUCUCAGCCCUGCAUAUUGGUGCUGCUGGGGCUGGGUCAGCACCCACAUUGCAAAUCUGCACCCAAGGAGCUCGUGUGCUGGUUGCAGUGAGACAGAGGGGGGAACCAGCAGCACAUAAAUGGCUGUUUCGGUCUCCCUCCUGAGAUAAAUCACUUAUCUGUUUUUUCUCACUGUGCACUGCAUGGCAGUUUAUGAAGCAGCUGUCUGAAAGGAAAUUUACUGGACAAUUAAAUGUGCUGACUUUCAAGCAGUGCUCUCGAGGUGGAGUCUGAAAUUAUUGGGUGUGAAAUGCAAAUAGAUUUAACAGUUUUACUGCUAUUUAUAUGACAUUCACCCAUUCCUAGCUGUUUUUCCUCCCCCCUCCUUUUUCUUUUNNNNNNNNNNNNNNNNNNNNNNNNNNNNNNNNNNNNNNNNNNNNNNNNNNNNNNNNNNNNNNNNNNNNNNNNNNNNNNNNNNNNNNNNNNNNNNNNNNNNUUUCCCCCUUCUCUCUGAGUUUAAACGGUCCCAACUUUCACAGGUUUUAACAACCUCAGACACAUGCAGUAAAACCUGAAGGGCGCUCCAAAGCUGAACAAACCCAGAUCAGUGGAGGGCAGGAGGAGGAAAACAAAUUCUAUCCCAAUCCCUUAACAAAAUAUUAAUUUAGAAAUAAGCCGGUAAUUACAUUCAGCUUUGGGUCUGCCCCACAGUCCUCUGAGGCAGUUCUUAUUCAAUAAGCUUUUGGCCAGCACCCAACCAACCUCCAACUUGCACAAUCACAAAUGGACCCGGUGAGCAGCUCUGGCUCUUGGGAGCCCUUCCCCAAGGAGUGCAAUGGAACAGCCCCAAAGAAAUCCCCUUCCCAAGGGCAUUCCCAUGAAGCACCUAUUUCCCAAACAUUCCCCUGAGGUUCAGCACGAUCUCUCAGAGCAAGGAUGGAGUUUUUAUGAGGCUUCAUUCCUUCCUGCUACAUUACAUUAAUGACCAAAACAGUCCACGGCUUAAUUAAAGAUUAACCGUUGAGAUCAGUAAAGCAAGAUUGCUUCUCCUGCUGUUUUUCAUCCCUUUACACUUCUUGCAGAGCUCUGCCUGGGACAAAGCAAAGCAGCCCCUCCAGCACUGUGCAGAAUGGAAGAUUUCCAUGCCUUUUGGCUCAUCUGAUUCCCUCAUUUAACUGAGGGCAGGCAUCUCCCUCCCAGAUCUCACUCUGUGAAAGGUGCCACUCUGCUACGCAGAGAUUUGCCAAGCUACCCUUUGUAGCAUGUAUCUUUUGUACCUUUUAGGGACUUCUUGUACCUGUAAUCUCUGGUGCUGCAAGAUUUACCACUGCUGAGGAGAAACACUUGCUGCUCAGAUAUCUUAGGCUGCUGUGAGCCCCUCUGUACCAAAACAAUCCUAAUCUCAGCCUGGCUUUGGGACAACAGUGCACAUUUUUUGUUUUGCUUACUGUGUCUAUGCUCGUGACCUUCAUUAUCUUUUGCAAAGCUGAUCAACAGCCUCCUCUGCCAGACUCUCCCAUCCCUGUGUUGUUGUGAAAUAUUAUCUGUUACUGCUUAAAAACCAAAUUCAUGAAUCAUAUUUGGUGGGUGAAGGACCCUUUGCUGGUUUGGUCAGACAGGCACAACUAUCCAUCUGUCCAACUGUCCACCUGUCCUGCUACCAUCAUGACCUCAGUUCUGCACAAUUAGCUCUAAUAAAUUGAUGCAUCUGCACAGAAAUCUACACAAAACUCACCCAUUCACCUCCCCACCUUAUAGAGAGUUCUACUCAUUUUGCUGGAUUUCUUUCUUGUCCUUUUCCUUGAAUACAGCCCUGGUGCAGCCAAGUCGUUCCAGCCUCGAUGAGACAGAUUUGGCAAACAUAAAUAUGGUUUGAUUGGAUUUAGUGUCACCAAGGGCUCAUUUACCAGCAUCCCUCCUAUGCCCUGGGGCUGAGCAGAGAGCUGAAGAGAAACCUUCAGUAGGUGUCCACUCUCCUGCUCCAAUCCAUCUCACAGGAAAUCUGAUGCACCACCCUCUGUUUGCAGCUGCAAUUAUAGAGAUGUGUUCAGGUUUUCUUCCACCUCUACAGAAACUGAAUCAGAUGUGGAGAAAAUGGAGCACUGUCUGGAAUGUGAAUGCCUUAUCCUCCACCCUUCCAUUACAGAGCUUGUAUUCCUGUAACUCACCCAUCAAGACAAACCUGCCAAGAUCUUUCUUUGCAAUCUAAUAAAUAACAAUAAUAAGCAUUCUACCAACUCAUAUUUCUGCAAGCUGGCAGUGAUUUAUAUUUUUGGCUCUUGCAUCUGAAAUAACUGAAAAUGUUCAAUGAGAUAAAUGAAAAAUCUUGCUUCUCGUUCUGAAGUGAAGUUUGCCAACCUGGAAGGUCUUUAAUAACGAUUUUCUGAUAAACAUACACUCACUGGUUCUCCUCUUGGCAGCUACAUUUUGAUUAAAUUCC